AAACUGAGUCAUCGUCCAUCCCUUCGGACCGAUGGCUGCUAUGAAGUUCCUGAUAUUGAUAUUGAGGAUCUUCCUAGGGUCGGAACACAAGUCAAAGGUUUGUCUAUCUCUUUGUUUACAUAGAUUUUCCAUGAAUCCUGAGGCACACACUAUGCCACCACUGAAUUCUGAAAUCUAUUCUAAUGCCACCUUUCUUUUUAGUUAUUUACAGGAUGUCCAUAUUUUGCUGCACAAACCAUGCAUGGCAAAAGCAGCACAAUUGAUUUUCUGCCCAUAUAGCAACCUAAUUAGUCCAAUUGUCAGGAGAGCAAUGGACAUUGAUAUCAUUGGCUCAAUUGUUAUUCUUGAUGAAGCGCAGUAAGCCCCUGAGUCUGCAGACUCAUGAUUCUUUUUCAGUGUCAUUCAAUGGUUUCCUUAGUUGCAAGACAACGGCUCCCUAUGUUACCGAUCCGGUGUUGCUGUGCGUGAGGACGGACAUGGGGAAGGUGCAACAAGGCAGCGCUCAAGUUGCAGUGGAGUGGAGUCGACCAUCACUACUGACCGCUGCUCGGCGAUCCUCGCCCCUCACCCCCCAUCUAGAUGUGGUUAGGAACUAAAUCGACAAGCAUCGAUAUUUUUGUUAGGAAGGAGCGCUAGGAGCCUAGGAGUGGAACACGAUUUCCUCGAAUCUAGCCGAGGCCUCUGCUUUUUUCGUCAUCUUCCAUCGGUCCAAGCUGCUAUUGUUCGCUCCGUCGGCUUGCAGUUGCUUCUGGAGCGUGCUUCAGAUUCAUUGUGCCUCCUUCCAAUGAUCAUAUGCCAGAUUUCAGAACAAAACUAGCUAUCAUUUAGUGGACUCGAGAUUGAAUGGCGAUGAUAUAAAAAACUGAGACUUGAAGAUGACAGAAACAACACAAAUUCCAACGGAUUGUAUGAUUCUGGAUAGACCUCUAAGAACAUGGAGACAACAUAGAUCUCACUGUUUAUUUAUUUAUCUAAGGACGUUAAAUUUGUUACCAUAUGUGUUUACCCACAACCAAAUCAAGUAAAUUAUGG
This 1032-nucleotide ribosomal RNA is filed under the name Triticum aestivum (bread wheat). RNAcentral describes it as "partial small subunit ribosomal RNA". Lineage: Eukaryota; Viridiplantae; Streptophyta; Magnoliopsida; Poales; Poaceae. The record is from RNAcentral.